Molecule: ribosomal RNA, 397 nt
Filed under: uncultured bacterium
Lineage: Bacteria
Description: partial 16S ribosomal RNA
Rfam family: Bacterial small subunit ribosomal RNA
Source: RNAcentral
AUACGUAGGGUGCGAGCGUUGUCCGGAAUUACUGGGCGUAAAGAGCUCGUAGGUGUUUGUCGCGUCGUCUGUGAAAUUCCGGGGCUUAACUCCGGGCGUGCAGGCGAUACUGGCAUAACUUGAGUACUGUAGGGGAGACUGGAAUUCCUGGUGUAGCGGUGAAAUGCGCAGAUAUCAGGAGGAACACCGGUGGCGAAGGCGGGUCUCUGGGCAGUAACGGACGCUGAGGAGCGAAAGCAUGGGUGAGGAACAGGAUUAUAUGCCCUGGUAGUCCAUGCCGUAAACGGUGGGGGCUAGGUGUAGGGGUCUGCCACGACUUCUGUGCCGUAGCUAACGCAUUAAGCGCCCCGCCUGGGGAGUACGGCCGCAAGGCUAAAACUCAAAUGAAUUGACGGGG